RNAcentral lists this ribosomal RNA (253 nucleotides) under uncultured bacterium. RNAcentral describes it as "partial 16S ribosomal RNA". It matches the Rfam family "Bacterial small subunit ribosomal RNA", at positions 524 to 776 of the family's 1533-position model. The record is from RNAcentral.
UACAGAGGUCCCAAGCGUUGUUCGGAUUCACUGGGCGUAAAGGGUGCGUAGGUGGUGGUGUAAGUCGGAUGUGAAAGCUCGGAGCUCAACUCCGAAAUGGCAUUGGAAACUACCCUGCUAGAGGAUUGGAGGGGGGACUGGAAUACUUGGUGUAGCAGUGAAAUGCGUAGAUAUCAAGUGGAACACCAGUGGCGAAGGCGAGUCCCUGGACAAUACCUGACACUGAGGCACGAAAGCUAGGGGAGCAAACAGG